CAGGUCAGCAUACUGCCGUGAAUACGUUCCCGGGCCUUGUACACACCGCCCGUCCACGCCAUGAGAGUUGGGAAUACCCGAAGCCUGUGAGCUAACUUAUAGAGGCAGCAGUCGAAGGUAGAAUCAAUGAUUGGGGUGAAGUCGUAACAAGGUAUC
This 156-nucleotide ribosomal RNA is filed under the name uncultured bacterium. RNAcentral describes it as "partial 16S ribosomal RNA". It matches the Rfam family "Bacterial small subunit ribosomal RNA", at positions 1345 to 1500 of the family's 1533-position model. The record is from RNAcentral.